This 253-nucleotide ribosomal RNA is filed under the name uncultured bacterium. RNAcentral describes it as "partial 16S ribosomal RNA". It matches the Rfam family "Bacterial small subunit ribosomal RNA", at positions 524 to 776 of the family's 1533-position model. The record is from RNAcentral.
GACAGAGGGUGCAAACGUUGCUCGGAAUUACUGGGCGUAAAGGGCUCGUAGGCGGCCAACUAAGUCAUACGUGAAAUCCCUCAGCUUAACUGGGGAACUGCGUGUGAUACUGGAUGGCUUGGAUUUGGGAGAGGGAUGCGGAAUUCCAGGUGUAGCGGUGAAAUGCGUAGAUAUCUGGAGGAACACCGGUGGCGAAGGCGGCAUCCUGGACCAAUAUUGACGCUGAGGAGCGAAAGCCAGGGGAGCAAACGGG